GUUUGAUCAUGGCUCAGGACGAACGCUGGCGGCGUGCUUAACACAUGCAAGUCGAACGGAGAACUUAUUUCGGUAAGUUCUUAGUGGCGAACGGGUGAGUAACGCGUGGGCAACCUGCCCUCCAGUUGGGGACAACAUUCCGAAAGGGAUGCUAAUACCGAAUGUGCUCCCUCCUCCGCAUGGAGGAGGGAGGAAAGAUGGCCUCUGCUUGCAAGCUAUCGCUGGAAGAUGGGCCCGCGUCUGAUUAGCUAGUUGGUGGGGUAACGGCUCACCAAGGCGAUGAUCAGUAGCCGGUCUGAGAGGAUGAACGGCCACAUUGGGACUGAGACACGGCCCAAACUCCUACGGGAGGCAGCAGUGGGGAAUCUUCCGCAAUGGACGAAAGUCUGACGGAGCAACGCCGCGUGAGUGAUGAAGGUCUUCGGAUUGUAAAACUCUGUUGUUAGGGACGAAAGCACCGUGUUCGAACAGGUCAUGGUGUUGACGGUACCUAACGAGGAAGCCACGGCUAACUACGUGCCAGCAGCCGCGGUAAUACGUAGGUGGCAAGCGUUGUCCGGAAUUAUUGGGUUUAAAGGGAGCGUAGGCGGACGCUUAAGUCAGUUGUGAAAGUUUGCGGCUCAACCGUAAAAUUGCAGUUGAUACUGGGUGUCU
RNAcentral lists this ribosomal RNA (654 nucleotides) under uncultured bacterium. RNAcentral describes it as "bacterial SSU rRNA". It matches the Rfam family "Bacterial small subunit ribosomal RNA", at positions 11 to 642 of the family's 1533-position model. The record is from RNAcentral.